Molecule: ribosomal RNA, 253 nt
Filed under: uncultured bacterium
Lineage: Bacteria
Description: partial 16S ribosomal RNA
Rfam family: Bacterial small subunit ribosomal RNA
Source: RNAcentral
UACGGAGGGUGCGAGCGUUGUUCGGAAUCACUGGGCGUAAAGCGCGUGUAGGCGGCUUCUUAAGUCCGAUGUGAAAGCCCGGGGCUCACCCCCGGAAGUGCAUUGGAUACUGGGAAGCUGGAGUACCGGAGAGGAGGGUGGAAUUCCUGGUGUAGCGGUGAAAUGCGUAGAUAUCAGGAGGAACACCUGUGGCGAAGGCAGGUCUCUGGGCCACUACUGACGCUGAGAAGCGAAAGCAUGGGGAGCGAACAGG